AGCGAACGCUGGCGGCAGGCUUAACACAUGCAAGUCGAGCGCCGUAGCAAUACGGAGCGGCAGACGGGUGAGUAACGCGUGGGAACGUGCCUUCUGGUUCGGAAUAACUCAGGGAAACUUGAGCUAAUACCGGAUAAGCCCUUCGGGGAAAGAUUUAUCGCCGGAAGAUCGGCCCGCGUAAGAUUAGCUUGUUGGUGAGGUAAUGGCUCACCAAGGCUACGAUCUUUAGCUGGUCGAGAGGAUGAUCAGCCACACUGGGACUGAGACACGGCCCAGACUCCUACGGGAGGCAGCAGUGGGGAAUAUUGGACAAUGGGCGCAAGCCUGAUCCAGCGAUGCCGCGUGUGUGAAG
Molecule: ribosomal RNA, 352 nt
Filed under: uncultured bacterium
Lineage: Bacteria
Description: bacterial SSU rRNA
Rfam family: Bacterial small subunit ribosomal RNA
Source: RNAcentral